GGAGUUUGGGCCGUGUCUCAGUCCCAAUGUGGCCGGUCACCCUCUCAGGUCGGCUACUGAUCGUCGCCUUGGUGAGCCAUUACCUCACCAACUAGCUAAUCAGACGCGGGUCCAUCCUAUACCACCGGAGUUUUUCACACUGUACCAUGCGAUACCGUGCGCUUAUGCGGUAUUAGCAGUCGUUUCCAACUGUUAUCCCCCUGUAUAGGGCAGGUUACUCACGCGUUACUCACCCGUCCGCCACUCAGUCAUCUGUUUCUUCUCCCCGAAGGAAUCAGGCGCAGAGCUUCGUUCGACUUGCAUGUGUUAAGCACGCCGCCAGCGUUCAUC
This 330-nucleotide ribosomal RNA is filed under the name uncultured Lachnospira sp. Its description in RNAcentral is "partial 16S ribosomal RNA". Lineage: Bacteria; Bacillati; Bacillota; Clostridia; Lachnospirales; Lachnospiraceae. The record is from RNAcentral.